RNAcentral lists this ribosomal RNA (253 nucleotides) under uncultured bacterium. Its description in RNAcentral is "partial 16S ribosomal RNA". It matches the Rfam family "Bacterial small subunit ribosomal RNA", at positions 524 to 776 of the family's 1533-position model. The record is from RNAcentral.
UACGGGGGGGGCAAGCGUUGUUCGGAAUUACUGGGCGUAAAGGGCGCGUAGGCGGUUUGCUAAGUCGAAUGUGAAAACUCUGGGCUUAACCCAGAGCCUGCAUUCGAUACUGGCGAGCUAGAGUUCUGGAGGGGAUAGCGGAAUUCCUGGUGUAGCGGUGAAAUGUGUAGAGAUCGGGAGGAACACCGGUGGCGAAGGCGGGUCUCUGGGCAAUUCCUGACGCUGAGGCGCGAAAGCGUGGGGAGCAAACGGG